RNAcentral lists this ribosomal RNA (403 nucleotides) under uncultured bacterium. Its description in RNAcentral is "partial 16S ribosomal RNA". It matches the Rfam family "Bacterial small subunit ribosomal RNA", at positions 30 to 526 of the family's 1533-position model. The record is from RNAcentral.
AUUGAACGCUGGCGGCAGGCCUACAACAUGCAAGUCGAGCGAGCGGCGGACGGGUGAGUAAUGUAUGGGGACUGCCCGAUAGAGGGGGAUAACUACUGGAACCGGUGGCUAAUACCGCAUACUAUCGGAUAACCCAUAUGGGAUUAGCUAGUAGGUGAGGUAACGGCUUACCUAGGCGACGAUCACUUGCUGGUCUUCGAGGGGGAUCAGCCACACUGGGGCGGAGACACGGCCCAGACUCCGACGGAGGCAGCAGUGGGGAAUAUUGCACAAUGGGCGCAAGCCUGAUGCAGCCAUGCCGCGUGUAUGAAGAAGGCCUUCGGGUUGUAAAGUACUUGCAGUCGGGAGGCGUUACCGACAGAAGAAGCACCGGCUAACUCCGUGCCAGCCGCCGCGGUAAUAC